RNAcentral lists this ribosomal RNA (529 nucleotides) under uncultured bacterium. RNAcentral describes it as "bacterial SSU rRNA". It matches the Rfam family "Bacterial small subunit ribosomal RNA", at positions 777 to 1304 of the family's 1533-position model. The record is from RNAcentral.
AAUAGAUACCCGGGUAGUCCACGCCGUAAACGAUGAGUGCUAAGUGUUAGAGGGUUUCCGCCCUUUAGUGCUGCAGCAAACGCAUUAAGCACUCCGCCUGGGGAGUACGGUCGCAAGACUGAAACUCAAAGGAAUUGACGGGGGCCCGCACAAGCGGUGGAGCAUGUGGUUUAAUUCGAAGCAACGCGAAGAACCUUACCAGGUCUUGACAUCCCGUGACAACUCUAGAGAUAGAGCUUUCCCCUUCGGGGGACACGGUGACAGGUGGUGCAUGGUUGUCGUCAGCUCGUGUCGUGAGAUGUUGGGUUAAGUCCCGCAACGAGCGCAACCCUUGAUCUUAGUUGCCAGCAUUCAGUUGGGCACUCUAAGGUGACUGCCGGUGACAAACCGGAGGAAGGUGGGGAUGACGUCAAAUCAUCAUGCCCCUUAUGACCUGGGCUACACACGUGCUACAAUGGAUUGUACAAAGGGCAGCGAAACCGCGAGGUUAAGCCAAUCCCAUAAAACCAUUCUCAGUUCGGAUUGCAGG